This 638-nucleotide long non-coding RNA is filed under the name Citrus sinensis (sweet orange). RNAcentral describes it as "long non-coding RNA (CSIN_LNC004178)". Lineage: Eukaryota; Viridiplantae; Streptophyta; Magnoliopsida; Sapindales; Rutaceae. The record is from RNAcentral.
ACAAAACAAGCAUCCACCCACCUACCAACCCAAGCCCUUAAAAUUCGAAAACUUUAUAUUCGUUUACAAAAAGGGAACACAAUUUUGUUGUACUAGCUUUUGAAGUGCGUUCCGAAAGUGCAGUGAGAAACAAGAGACAUGGCUUCAAGGUUGUUGUGGGCUUCAAGGGCUGCUUCGUACCUCAGGAUCUCUGUCUUCCACAGAGGAUUUUCUUCUGGUAAAUCAACCUUCAGCAACUGCUAUUUUUGCUUUCUAUGUCAAUGUUUAUACUUCUUUUAAUGUGUAUGCAGUGAUCAUAAAAAUGUGAAUUUGUGAAAAAUACAUAUGCACGUGGAUCUUAUUUAUUUGUUUGUUGAAAUACUUGAUCUGUGAUUCUGUUCCGUUAAAGAUUUGAUUUUUGUAACUGGGUGCUGUUUAUUAUUGUCACUGGUGUAAAGGGACUUCAUAGAAAGUCAGUCUAUGUAAGCUUUGGUUCUCUCUGAGUAUUGAUAUUCGGGAUCAGGUUCUUGAUUAUUUUGCCUAUUUAUUAAGAUUCGUCUUUGUAAGUCCCUGAUAUCUUAAAAAGAUGAAUGCCAGGCUGGGCAGAGUUUGGUCGGCUUGCCGAUUUUCUAUUUUUAAAAUAGGAAAGGAGCCUGUAU